Molecule: long non-coding RNA, 970 nt
Filed under: Erythranthe guttata (spotted monkey flower)
Lineage: Eukaryota; Viridiplantae; Streptophyta; Magnoliopsida; Lamiales; Phrymaceae
Description: long non-coding RNA (EGUT_LNC001787)
Source: RNAcentral
UUCUCUUGCGCGUUCUACAUCAAAUGAGGAGAGACAAAAGUGUUCAAAAAUUUCAACCUAGAAUUUUAAUACAAAUUUAAAAUUACAGACAUCCAAAGAUAAAUGUAUAUCAGUCCAAAAUUUCUGUAAAAAUCCCGCAGAACUAAAAAAGGCCUAAACUCAAUCAGCAACCUAUGACAAAUGAAAAGGUAAGCACAAACAAAUAAUAAACUUCGUAUAUAAACCACAGAAAACGAUAAACAUGCAUCGAUUCUGCGUUUUUAUGAAUUGAUACUCAAAAGUGAAAGUUGCACCCAUAUGUAUCGAGAUGGGGCGAAGACUGGCGCCGGUCAGGGACCUGGCCCGCACCUCUAAAAAAAUUGAAGGAGUCAUGAAACACGUACGGAAUUCAAGAAUUAUAGAGGCAUUUUAUGGGGCUUGAUUAAAGCAAACGGAAAGAAAAAAGUCAUGUGGAGAAAAAUUGAAUCAGAGCAAACCUGAUGGUGGCUGCCGAAGAAACCAACAUCGGCAUCCCUAUUUAAAAAAAAAAACUCAUAAUCAAAAUUUUGAGCACAAUAAACAUCCCUAAUCUUGGAACUCAAAAAAAUAGAUUCAAUACAAAUAAAGUACAUAGAGUAACAGAAACAAGAAGUCAUUAAGUUAAUGAGAAUCCCAUGUCUAUAAAUCCUGGCGCUCGAACAAGCUCCCCCUAUUUUUUUUUCACCGGGACUCAGUACAAUUUCUACAAACAUCUAAAUAGCAAAAGGGCAUUAAAUCCAAAUAAGCAAAACAGAUACGAAAACCUGAACGAACCAAAAUAAAUCGUAAGAAAAAAACAGAAAUAUACGAGGCAGAAAUCAAACAAAUAUAAACAACUCCAACGGCUGACGAAGUCGUCGGACACACAAAGCUAUUCAUCAGAGUGGCGCCAUCAACAGACGUGGCCGAACCUAUCUCCAUCUCAGAAUUCAGUCACCAGAAUAAAAGCAGC